CCGAAAGCUAUUUAGGUAGCGCCUCGUGAAUUCAUCUCCGGGGGUAGAGCACUGUUUCGGCUAGGGGGCCAUCCCGGCUUACCAACCCGAUGCAAACUGCGAAUACCGGAGAAUGUUAUCACGGGAGACACACGGCGGGUGCUAACGUCCGUCGUGAAGAGGGAAACAACCCAGACCGCCAGCUAAGGUCCCAAAGUCAUGGUUAAGUGGGAAACGAUGUGGGAAGGCCCAGACAGCCAGGAUGUUGGCUUAGAAGCAGCCAUCAUUUAAAGAAAGCGUAAUAGCUCACUGGUCGAGUCGGCCUGCGCGGAAGAUGUAACGGGGCUAAACCAU
RNAcentral lists this ribosomal RNA (333 nucleotides) under Salmonella enterica subsp. enterica serovar Senftenberg. RNAcentral's name for it is "partial 23S ribosomal RNA". It matches the Rfam family "Bacterial large subunit ribosomal RNA", at positions 859 to 1190 of the family's 2925-position model. RNAcentral also lists the same sequence under 10 other names. The record is from RNAcentral. Lineage: Bacteria; Pseudomonadati; Pseudomonadota; Gammaproteobacteria; Enterobacterales; Enterobacteriaceae.